Equus caballus (horse) is the source of this 2197-nucleotide non-coding RNA. Lineage: Eukaryota; Metazoa; Chordata; Mammalia; Perissodactyla; Equidae. The record is from RefSeq and is a predicted model, not a curated record.
CCACCCUCCAGGUUCUGGUUUCUUCUCUGAGAACCUAACUCUUUCCCUAAUGGCUAAUAUCAGGAAAAUCCACUUCCUUCUGGACAGACUCCAGCUCCUACCUACAGAGUUAGUCAUUAUUCUAUGGUCUCAAUAGGACAAAUGAUCUGAGGUACCACACAACAAAAACCUAUAGGUGAGGCACCCAAAGGGUGAGGUAAAGGAUGGCUAGAUUUGAAACCAAUAUGGUAGAAGGUCUGUGACUAAAACUAGAGCCAAAAUGUAGAAAGAGUAUCUGUUCCACCUGCUGCUUGCUGACAUUUAUAGGCCAAAUUCCUCACCCCUCCUGGAUCCAUGUCUUUUGCAUGUGACUUUGCACUUCCUCCCAUUAAAGAGGCUGAAUAUAUUUUGCCAGCCCCUGACUUGGAUUCAGCCAUGUGACUUGCUUUGACUAAAGUAAUGUUUCUUGUGUAACUGGGCUUUCUGUCUUGUACCUCUGGCAUUGCUGUGAGAAGAACAUGCUUGCCAGUCUCAGGAAGAAGACGAGAAACACAGGAAGCAGAGACAAACUGCCCCAGCCAGGCCCAGCCUCCAUCAAGCCAAUCCCCAGCCAACUCCCAAAUAUGUAAACAAGCGCAGACAAAAUCUGCGAAGUUACCCAGGAAGAUGGCAUUCCCAGCCUCCCCUGCAGUGAGGUGGAGCCAUGUGACUGAGUUCCAGCUAACGGCAUGUGAGUGAAGGUGCCCCCUAUCUCAACUCUCAUUGGACUAUGAUGUGAGAAGAAGCCUUUGUUGUGUUAAGCCACCGAGAUUUGCAAGCUGUUUGUUACAACAGCUUAUGUUGGAGGAGGCAAUCAAGAGGAUGUGACCAUGGUUGGCCCUCAAGCUGAAUCCUGGCACGGCACUCGGGGGCUCCUUACCCCUCCUCUUUCCUUGGAAUGUACGCUCUGCCCACUGUUCCCACAGUGGGAACUGUUCCAAAGACACAGCCUGGAGAGGGUAGGGUGUGGCUGAGACCAUGUGGAUUGUGUACGUGACUAAACCCAGUUCAGGCCUCCCUGUAAGCUUUUAAGAUUUUGGUGGGCAGGUACGGAGAUAUACUCAUCUUGCAGCUGCCCAAGACAAGCCUCGUUUGUAAGUUCCCUUGCUUUUAAACCCACCACCUGCCAAUCUGGAGUGGUCUGCCUCUUUCUUUGGUCUCUCCUUACCCUCCGUGUCUGGGGUCCAGCUUGUGAACCAACAACUUAUUUAUUCUAAUAGAUCUCAGUUACUCCUAACUACAGUAUCUGCCUCUACAUGUCAUAAGGGGUAAGAAAGAUGAUCUAUAUAACAGUCAACUGUGAAGUACUGUAGAUUAUUAUUAGGACAUUAAUCUUCCUACAAUUUAUGUUUCAUAUGUCCAGAAGAACGUGAUUUCUGUGGAAUGUAGGUGUAUAUGGGAAAACAGUGUCACAAAGUCAAAUAACUGAGAAAAAGAGGGUCAAAAAAGCUAGAUUUCUUUUGGUGUAUGACAUCACAGAAUCUUUGAUUUAAUAAUAUGCAUCAUGACUCCAUAAUAAUAUGCAGUGUUCCCAAAGUUGUUUGCUAAGAACCCUUUGUCCUGGAGCCUUCUGUGAAACUAAAUGUUCCUUGGAACUCAGAGUGGGAAUAGCACUCCUAGGUAUCUCCCAUAUCAGCUAUAUAAAUUUAUUUAAAAAAUAUAAUGGUAAUAUUUACUAUUCUUCUUCAUCUUGAAAGUAAAAAUAUAGUAGCUACUGCAUAUUAAGGAACACUCUCCCCCUUUCCCUCCCAAAUGUAGAGACCCAAAUUGUAUAAAGAUGACUUUAAACUGAAGACAUCUGAGAUACAGCUGAUGCAUAAAGACGUCUUCAGGGUCCCCCCAUCUGACUAAAGGCAGGGCCUUCCGAGAGGGAGGCAGCUACAGAUGCCCUCUGGGUGGGGGAGCCUCACUGCCGGGAAGAAGGCCGGCCACUUCCAGUUGGAUGAGAAAUUGCAUAGACAAACACGAUCACAAGCUAUCAUAUGUUCCAUUUGUCCCUCUAAAAGCCCACUGUCUCCCAAAAAAGGCCAUUUGUUUUCCCACAGAAGCCCUCUCGCCUCCCUCCCUUUUCUCUAUUAAGUUGGGCUCCAUACCCUCAUCCCCAGCUGUUCAGGGAGCCCUUUCAUCUGAAUGCUCCUGUGUGCAUGUGAAUAAAACUUGUUUUCUUUUCUUCUGUUAA